This 523-nucleotide ribosomal RNA is filed under the name uncultured bacterium. RNAcentral's name for it is "bacterial SSU rRNA". It matches the Rfam family "Bacterial small subunit ribosomal RNA", at positions 777 to 1297 of the family's 1533-position model. The record is from RNAcentral.
AAUAGAUACCCAGGUAGUCCACGCCGUAAACGAUGAGUGCUAAGUGUUAGAGGGUUUCCGCCCUUUAGUGUUGCAGCUAACGCAUUAAGCACUCCGCCUGGGGAGUACGGCCGCAAGGCUGAAACUCAAAGGAAUUGACGGGGGCCCGCACAAGCGGUGGAGCAUGUGGUUUAAUUCGAAGCAACGCGAAGAACCUUACCAGGUCUUGACAUCCUCUGCCAACCCUAGAGAUAGGGCGUUCCCCUUCGGGGGGACAGAGUGACAGGUGGUGCAUGGUUGUCGUCAGCUCGUGUCGUGAGAUGUUGGGUUAAGUCCCGCAACGAGCGCAACCCUUGAUCUUAGUUGCCAGCAUUCAGUUGGGCACUCUAAGGUGACUGCCGGUGACAAACCGGAGGAAGGUGGGGAUGACGUCAAAUCAUCAUGCCCCUUGUGACCUGGGCUACACACGUGCUACAAUGGAUGGUACAAAGAGCUGCGAACCCGCGAGGGUAAGCGAAUCUCAUAAAGCCAUUCUCAGUUCGGA